AUACAAGUGUUGCUGGAACGGAGGAACCAAAUUUUGGGGCUAAUCUCGCAAAGGUAGUCUUUGGAAACAGAGUGACCAAGACAUGAGAAGGGCAUCUCUCAGCCCUCGCCCGUCAGCUAACUUCGUAGGCAUUGAGAGGAGUCUGA
Molecule: small RNA, 146 nt
Filed under: Limnoraphis robusta
Lineage: Bacteria; Bacillati; Cyanobacteriota; Cyanophyceae; Oscillatoriales; Sirenicapillariaceae
Also listed under: 1 other name
Description: c-di-AMP sequence
Rfam family: c-di-AMP riboswitch aptamer (ydaO/yuaA leader)
About the family: This family represents a conserved RNA structure found upstream of the ydaO and yuaA genes in Bacillus subtilis and related genes in other bacteria. The ydaO/yuaA element is thought to act as a genetic "off" switch for the ydaO and yuaA genes in its native state.
Source: RNAcentral